UCUCUGGUGGUCUGGUGGUUAAGACUUUGCACUUCCAAUGCAGAGGGUAAGGGUUCAAUCCCUGGUUGGGGAA
This 73-nucleotide transfer RNA is filed under the name Ovis aries (sheep). It matches the Rfam family "tRNA". Rfam says of the family: Transfer RNA (tRNA) molecules are approximately 80 nucleotides in length. Their secondary structure includes four short double-helical elements and three loops (D, anti-codon, and T loops). Further hydrogen bonds mediate the characteristic L-shaped molecular structure. tRNAs have two regions of fundamental functional importance: the anti-codon, which is responsible for specific mRNA codon recognition, and the 3' end, to which the tRNAs corresponding amino acid is attached (by aminoacyl-tRNA synthetases). tRNAs cope with the degeneracy of the genetic code in two manners: having more than one tRNA (with a specific anti-codon) for a particular amino acid; and 'wobble' base-pairing, i.e. permitting non-standard base-pairing at the 3rd anti-codon position. Lineage: Eukaryota; Metazoa; Chordata; Mammalia; Artiodactyla; Bovidae. The record is from Rfam by way of RNAcentral.